UCUCCUUUAUAUAUCCGCACAUGCCUAGCAGUGCAAUAGAUUCUAAAUUUCAAUAUUUCAUUAAAAGUGGGAGUGGCCGGAACAAAUAAAAUGGCGAUCAGCACACGGGAAUCAGAAGUCAUGAUUUUCCUACUACAAAUCUAGGCUGCAAUCUCUUCAGAUCCUACCUCUGAUGAUGUACUUUGAGGUGAAUGAUAUAUCCUUCUUUCUGUCAUCAGUGAAAGCACCAAACCCUGCUUUUGAUACACUGCAGUUUGUUUCUUUCUCCACCUCUGGAACUCGUUCCUGUGGGAUCAAGCUACAACACCAAUUCUCAUGUUCCAACUCCUCAAGGCACUUCUACUUUACAAGACUCCCUAGACUCUGGAAUAAGAUAUCAAGGUAGGUCGAUCUUCUUGGUUACUCUGUUCCUACAGCAAAAUUCCAUCUUCGUCGCCUAAUGUGGUCCUACUUUGAAGAAACUUUCAAAGGCUCUGAGUAUCUAUGUACGUACCACUUCUGUUGCCCCUGUAGCAAGUGUAUCACUUCACAAGUCAAGUAACUGUUUUGUUGCAUUAGUAACUUUAUGCAUAGUGUCUAUGCUUUAUGUGUAUGUUAUAGUGUAAAUUAUUGUUUUAUUUUUUAUUUCUGGUACUCAGUAUUAAUUACUGAUGUACCCUCAGUACUCCAAACUCCUGCUGCCCUCAAUUUAAUGUUUUUCUUUUCUUCUCUCUCUAUGGUGUGUCCACGUAGCAGUCAAAAUGGCAGUGAGUUUGCUUAACCAAGGAUCUUUGAUGGUCUUUUUAGUCCUUCUAGCUAUAGCAGAUGAUGAAAACAGCAAUAGAAAAGGAUACAUGAAAAGUAAAUGAAAAAUCACCAAAAUAUAGACGAAUUUGGGAAGCAAUAAAUUAUACUGCCAGGACAGUGCAUGGUCAACAGAAGCAGAUUGAUGCCAUUCAAAAUAAAGUGACAACUCUUGAAGGUACUUGUUCUUCUUUCAGUUCUUUGCACGAGGCUCAGCAAGAAUUCAUGAAACUAAUGACUAUGUAUGGAGAAAGUACUUUCAAUAUUAAGAAAACACACUAUCAGGCACCAUUGAGAUGAGGUAUUGCUGACUUGUACUGCUGCUCUCUUUUUAGAAAACCCAGUGAUGAGGAAGUUAAUAAAUUGGUUAAUUCUGUUCUUCGAAGUGAUAAGAAGUAUAAAUAUAAGUACACUGCAGCUCUAAAGUAUGUCAAUGGAUUAUUAGCUACAUUUAGGAGUGAGGAAAGAAGACGGGUCUUACAACCAACUGGGAAGUACAAGGACCAAAACACUAAGGCAUUAGCUGAACUGAUUAUUGGAUAUAUGAAAGCAUCUUAUUCUGACUCAUUUAAUCAUUAUUAUCAAAAUUUGGUGUUAUUGAGAAAGUAUGUUAGAGAACAUCCUUCUGCUAAAUCUGAAAAGAAUCUAUUUGGCUGCUUCAAAAAAUGGGUCAAUGAAACUUGUGGAUUUGCUUCUAGCAAAUCUAUAGCUCCCAGUAAGUGGCAGGAAUGGAUUGCAGAGGAUGAGAAAUGUAGUUAUGUGGAUGGAGAUAGUGAUGAGAUGGCAACUUCUCAGGGCGAUAAUGAGCCACUACCACCAGAGGAUAAUGAUAAUAUGGUUAUACCUGAUGAUGAUGAUGAUGGAUAUCCUGAUCUUUAUGAUUAAUCAUCAGUUCAUCACAUACACAGCCAAGAGUUUGUGAUUGAUUCAUGAAUGAUGUCAGUCCUGAUCCGGCCUAAUGCAUCCUGAAUCAUGGAUGUUGGGCAGCUAAUAUGGCAUAGAGCAUAGCUGAAUCUAUCAGCCUUGAUACAAUCAUGCUGGAAUUCAUACUGGUUCAGCCAGAGCAACAUGUAUGAUUCAGCAAUGAUACCUGUCAGACUGUAUCAAUACUGUAAUCAGGCUCGAUUCAUUGAUUUUGGGCAGUGUCUUAUAUCAUACCUGUGAACUCUUGGCUGUGUACUGUUUAGACUAUGUACAUUUUUUUAAUUUUUCCAUUUAUCACUUGAUUUUGGUGACAUUGAUCAUUCAUGCUAUUGUGUUAAUCAGCAUUGAUAACCCUUUCUAUUAUAAUCUGAUUAAUUUAAAUACUAGUAUCAUGUUUGUUGUCAGAGUUGAUACAUGAACAGCAUGAAUCAAGCAUUGCUGUAUCAUCUUGUUACCCAUACAUGAAUCAUAAGGUUACGGCAUACUGAAUCACUUCUGAUGCAAAUCUGUUCGAAACAAACACGAAUGCGACCAUGAAUCACAAUGAUGACUUGUCAGGAUGAUACAUGCUAACUCUUGCAUGCUCUUGGCUGUGUAGUUACUAGUUAUUGAAUGCGGAAAAUUAGAAUCUAUACGGUGAUAACUACCGCCCACGCAGUUACAAUCCCUUUAUACUCUAUUAUCUAUGGUACGUGCGUGCGGCGCUGCUUUGUGUUGAAUUGAAGCGAAUUUGAUUGUUGAACAAAAUAUGUCUGAAGAUCCACAACAGCAAGGAUUCCCUGGAUAUCCGCCAGCUGACUACCCGCCAAGCUAUCCUCCUCAGCAAGGUUAUCCUCCACAGCAAGGGUACCCUCCUCAGCAAGGUUAUCCCGCUCCACAGCAAGGUUAUCCCGCUCCACAACAAGGGUACCAACCUCCUCCCCAAGUACAGCAGCAGCAGUCAACUAAUGUUAAUGUAACAGUUCAACAGCAGCCAUCUGCAACUGUAGUGGUGAAAAAAGAUGACCGUCCCAAUCACAUCCUACACUGCAUCAUUACUUUCUUUUGUCCAAUUUGGAUAUUUGUGUGGAUUAUUCUUUGCUGCGUUUAUGGAUGUUAAAAUUGCACCUAGCAAUUUUUACUGAGCUAUCAUUUAGUCUAUGUGGCUGGUUUGAUGCCAUAUUAGGCUUUAGCGUAGUUUUAGUGUAGACACAUAUUUAACUGUAUAUAUAUAAAUACUAAUAGUGUAUUUUUGCAAGUUGGUUAUUAAAUUGUGUGUUUUUUUCCUGUUCUCUCUAUUUCAAGGCUACUACACAAGUUGUAGCUAGUCCUAUUCAACACUUCCUAUGUUUUCUGUAUAACUAAGACUAUAUGAUUACUCUUAUCUUCUGUUGUUGUGUGUUGUAAAGUAAUAAUAAUAAUAAUAAUAAUAAUAA
Amphimedon queenslandica is the source of this 3122-nucleotide RNA transcript. It is a transcript of the gene named annexin A7-like, with no coding region annotated. Lineage: Eukaryota; Metazoa; Porifera; Demospongiae; Haplosclerida; Niphatidae. The record is from RefSeq and is a predicted model, not a curated record. The transcript has 9 exons.